AGUGAACGCUGGCGGUAGGCCUAACACAUGCAAGUCGAACGGCAGCACAGUAAGAGCUUGCUCUUACGGGUGGCGAGUGGCGGACGGGUGAGGAAUACAUCGGCAUCUACUUUUUCGUGGGGGAUAACGUAAGGAAACUGACGCUAAUACCGCAUACGACCUACGGGUGAAAGCAGUGGAUCUUCGGACCUUGCGCGAUUGAAUGAGCCGAUGUCGGAUUAGCUAGUUGGCGGGGUAAAGGCCCACCAAGGCGACGAUCCGUAGCUGGUCUGAGAGGAUGAUCAGCCACACUGGAACUGAGACACGGUCCAGACUCCUACGGGAGGCAGCAGUGGGGAAUAUUGGACAAUGGGCGAAAGCCUGAUCCAGCCAUACCGCGUGGGUGAAGAAGGCCUUCGGGUUGUAAAGCUCUUUUGUUGGGAAAGAAAAGCAGCAGGUUAAUACCCCGCUGUUCUGACGGUACCCAAAGAAUAAGCACCGGCUAACUUCGUG
RNAcentral lists this ribosomal RNA (492 nucleotides) under uncultured bacterium. Its description in RNAcentral is "partial 16S ribosomal RNA". It matches the Rfam family "Bacterial small subunit ribosomal RNA", at positions 29 to 507 of the family's 1533-position model. The record is from RNAcentral.